GACGAACGCUGGCGGCGUGCUUAACACAUGCAAGUCGAACGGAAAGGCCCUGCUUUUGUGGGGUGCUCGAGUGGCGAACGGGUGAGUAACACGUGAGUAACCUGCCCUUGACUUUGGGAUAACUUCAGGAAACUGGGGCUAAUACCGGAUAGGAGCUCCUGCUGCAUGGUGGGGGUUGGAAAGUUUCGGCGGUUGGGGAUGGACUCGCGGCUUAUCAGCUUGUUGGUGGGGUAGUGGCUUACCAAGGCUUUGACGGGUGGCCGGCCUGAGAGGGUGACCGGCCACAUUGGGACUGAGAUACGGCCCAGACUCCUACGGGAGGCAGCAGUGGGGAAUAUUGCACAAUGGGCGGAAGCCUGAUGCAGCAACGCCGCGUGCGGGAUGACGGCCUUCGGGUUGUAAACCGCUUUCGCCUGUGACGAAGCGUGAGUGACGGUAAUGGGUAAAGAGGCACCGGCUAACUACGUG
Molecule: ribosomal RNA, 468 nt
Filed under: uncultured bacterium
Lineage: Bacteria
Description: partial 16S ribosomal RNA
Rfam family: Bacterial small subunit ribosomal RNA
Source: RNAcentral